This 350-nucleotide ribosomal RNA is filed under the name Compsobuthus matthiesseni. RNAcentral's name for it is "partial large subunit ribosomal RNA". It matches the Rfam family "Archaeal large subunit ribosomal RNA", at positions 2045 to 2630 of the family's 2987-position model. The record is from RNAcentral. Lineage: Eukaryota; Metazoa; Arthropoda; Arachnida; Scorpiones; Buthidae.
UUAGUCUUUUAAUUGAAGACUGGAAUGAAAGAGUUCACUGGAAGAAAAUUUUUUAAAAUAAAAUAAUGAAGUUAACUUUUUAGUAAAAAGGCUAAAAUUUUUCUUAAAGACGAGAAGACCCUAUAAAACUUUAUACUCUAAAAAUUUUAGGGGUUUUGUGGGUAUUUUGCUGGGGCGGCAAAGGAAUGAAGCUUCUUUUAAUUUUUAAAACAAUUGUGUUUUUAUAACCAAAAAUUUUGAAGGAAGAAUAAGUUACUUUAGGGAUAACAGCUUAAUUCUUUUUGAAAGUUCAAAUUGACAAGAGAGAUUGUGACCUCGAUGUUGAAUUAAUUUCCUUUAGAACGCAAAAG